RNAcentral lists this ribosomal RNA (497 nucleotides) under uncultured bacterium. Its description in RNAcentral is "partial 16S ribosomal RNA". It matches the Rfam family "Bacterial small subunit ribosomal RNA", at positions 28 to 507 of the family's 1533-position model. The record is from RNAcentral.
GACGAACGCUGGCGGCGUGCCUAAUACAUGCAAGUUGAGCGAUGAAGAUUGGUGCUUGCACCAAUUUGAAGAGCAGCGAACGGGUGAGUAACGCGUGGGGAAUCUGCCUUUGAGCGGGGGACAACAUUUGGAAACGAAUGCUAAUACCGCAUAACAACUUUAAACAUAAGUUUUAAGUUUGAAAGAUGCAAUUGCAUCACUCAAAGAUGAUCCCGCGUUGUAUUAGCUAGUUGGUGAGGUAAAGGCUCACCAAGGCGAUGAUACAUAGCCGGCCUGAGAGGGUGAGCGGCCACAUUGGGACGGAGACACGGCCCAAACUCCUACGGGAGGCAGCAGUAGGGAAUCUUCGGCAAUGGACGAAGGUCUGACCGAGCAACGCCGCGUGAGUGAAGAAGGUUUUCGGAUCGUAAAACUCUGUUGGUAGAGAAGAACGUUGGUGAGAGUGGAAAGCUCAUCAAGUGACGGUAACUACCCAGAAAGGGACGGCUAACUACGUG